GAUGAACGCUGGCGGCGUGCCUAAUACAUGCAAGUCGAGCGAACGGACGAGAAGCUUGCUUCUCUGAUGUUAGCGGCGGACGGGUGAGUAACACGUGGAUAACCUACCUAUAAGAAUGGGAUAACUUCGGGAAACCGGAGCUAAUACCGGAAAAUAUUUUGAACCGCAUGGUUCAAAAGUGAAAGACGGUCUUGCUGUCACUUAUAGAUGGAUCCGCGCUGCAUUAGCUAGUUGGUAAGGUAACGGCUUACCAAGGCAACGAUGCAUAGCCGACCUGAGAGGGUGAUCGGCCACACUGGAACUGAGACACGGUCCAGACUCCGACGGUAGGCAGCAGUAGGGAAUCUUCCGCGAUGGGCGAAAGCCUGACGGAGCAACGCCGCGUGAGUGAUGAAGGUCUUCGGAUCGUAAAACUCUGUUAUUAGGGAAGAACAUAUGUGUAAGUAACUGUGCACAUCUUGACGGUACCUAAUCAGAAAGCCACGGCUAACUACGUG
This 497-nucleotide ribosomal RNA is filed under the name uncultured bacterium. RNAcentral's name for it is "partial 16S ribosomal RNA". It matches the Rfam family "Bacterial small subunit ribosomal RNA", at positions 28 to 507 of the family's 1533-position model. The record is from RNAcentral.